This 301-nucleotide ribosomal RNA is filed under the name uncultured bacterium. RNAcentral describes it as "partial 16S ribosomal RNA". It matches the Rfam family "Bacterial small subunit ribosomal RNA", at positions 509 to 807 of the family's 1533-position model. The record is from RNAcentral.
CAGUCGCCGCGGUAACACGUAGGUGGCAAGCGUUGUCCGGAAUUAUUGGGCGUAAAGGGCUCGCAGGCGGUUUCUUAAGUCUGAUGUGAAAGCCCCCGGCUCAACCGGGGAGGGUCAUUGGAAACUGGGAAACUUGAGUGCAGAAGAGGAGAGUGGAAUUCCACGUGUAGCGGUGAAAUGCGUAGAGAUGUGGAGGAACACCAGUGGCGAAGGCGACUCUCUGGUCUGUAACUGACGCUGAGGAGCGAAAGCGUGGGGAGCGAACAGGAUUAGAUACCCGGGUAGUCCCUGUCUCUUAUAC